AGUGAACGCUGGCGGUAGGCCUAACACAUGCAAGUCGAACGGCGGCACAGUAAGAGCUUGCUCUUACGGGUGGCGAGUGGCGGACGGGUGAGGAAUACAUCGGAAUCUACUUUUUCGUGGGGGAUAACGUAGGGAAACUUACGCUAAUAUCGCAUACGACCUACGGGUGAAAGCAGGGGAUCUUCGGACCUUGCGCGAUUGAAUGAGCCGAUGUCGGAUUAGCUAGUUGGCGGGGUAAAGGCCCACCAAGGCGACGAUCCGUAGCUGGUCUGAGAGGAUGAUCAGCCACACUGGAACUGAGACACGGUCCAGACUCCUACGGGAGGCAGCAGUGGGGAAUAUUGGACAAUGGGCGCAAGCCUGAUCCAGCCAUACCGCGUGGGUGAAGAAGGCCUUCGGGUUGUAAAGCCCUUUUGUUGGGAAAGAAAAGCAGCAGGUUAAUACCCCGCUGUUCUGACGGUACCCAAAGAAUAAGCACCGGCUAACUUCGUG
This 492-nucleotide ribosomal RNA is filed under the name uncultured bacterium. RNAcentral's name for it is "partial 16S ribosomal RNA". It matches the Rfam family "Bacterial small subunit ribosomal RNA", at positions 29 to 507 of the family's 1533-position model. The record is from RNAcentral.